GACGAACGCUGGCGGCGUGCUUAACACAUGCCAGUCGAACGGAAAGGUCAUGAUUUUGUGGGGUGCUCGAGUGGCGAACGGGUGAGUAACACGCGAGUAACCUGCCCUUGACUAUGGGAUAACUUCAGGAAACUGGGGCUAAUAACGGAUAGGCGCUCCCGCCGCAUGGUGGGGGUUGGAAAGUUUCGGCGGUUGGGGAUGGACUCGCGGCUUAUCAGCCUGUUGGUGGGGUAGUGGCUUGCCAAGGCUUGGACGGGUAGACGACCUGAGAUGGUGGCCGGCCACGUUAGGACUGAGAUGCGGCCCGGACUCAUACCUGAGGCAACGGUGGAGAGUGUAGCACAGUGGGCGGGAGCCUGAUGCGACGACGCCGCGUGCGGGAUGACGACCUGCGGGUUGGAAACCGCUUUCGCCUGAGACGGGGCGUGAAUGACGGUAACGGGUAAAGAAGCACCGGCUAACUACGUG
RNAcentral lists this ribosomal RNA (468 nucleotides) under uncultured bacterium. Its description in RNAcentral is "partial 16S ribosomal RNA". It matches the Rfam family "Bacterial small subunit ribosomal RNA", at positions 28 to 507 of the family's 1533-position model. The record is from RNAcentral.